UACGUAGGGUGCGAGCGUUGUCCGGAAUUAUUGGGCGUAAAGAGCUCGUAGGCGGUCUGUUGCGUCUGCCGUGAAAACCCGAGGCUUAACCUCGGGCCUGCGGUGGAUACGGGCAGACUAGAGGUAGGUAGGGGAGAAUGGAAUUCCCGGUGUAGCGGUGAAAUGCGCAGAUAUCGGGAGGAACACCGGUGGCGAAGGCGGUUCUCUGGGCCUUACCUGACGCUGAGGAGCGAAAGCGUGGGGAGCGAACAGG
This 253-nucleotide ribosomal RNA is filed under the name uncultured bacterium. RNAcentral's name for it is "partial 16S ribosomal RNA". It matches the Rfam family "Bacterial small subunit ribosomal RNA", at positions 524 to 776 of the family's 1533-position model. The record is from RNAcentral.